Acanthosepion pharaonis is the source of this 110-nucleotide non-coding RNA. The record is from the annotation of a GenBank genome assembly. NCBI's taxonomy places the organism in Eukaryota, Metazoa, Mollusca, Cephalopoda, Sepiida, Sepiidae.
CAGCUAUAUCAUGUUAAAACACCAUUUCUCGUCUGCUGAUCGAAAUUAAGCAAUGUCAAGCCUGGUCAGUACCUAGAUGGGUGACCACUUGGGAAUACCAGUUGCUGUAA